CCCCCGUGUGAUGAGCACACAGCUGCAGCAUAGCAAGAACCCAGGGGCUCUGGUGAAGCCAACACACGGGUCAUCAGGGUUCCCUCAGACUGGUGCCCUCUGUUGGCACCCAUCUCUGAGCCCCAUGGGCCACAUGUGGGCAGGACCUGGAAAGAACCUUGGCUGCAGAGGACUGAGGGGG
This is a small nucleolar RNA of Homo sapiens (human), 181 nucleotides long. Lineage: Eukaryota; Metazoa; Chordata; Mammalia; Primates; Hominidae. The record is from RefSeq and is marked validated.